RNAcentral lists this long non-coding RNA (259 nucleotides) under Mytilus galloprovincialis (Mediterranean mussel). Lineage: Eukaryota; Metazoa; Mollusca; Bivalvia; Mytilida; Mytilidae. The record is from RNAcentral.
UUGGUGAUGGUGAUGUGUUUGUAGAUCUUACUUUACUUAACAUUCUUGCUGCUUACAAUUAUCUCUAUCUAUAACAGUACUUUCUGUGGAAAAUUUUAUUGAAAAUCUUCAAAUUUUAAGAAAAUUGUUAAAAAUGGACUAUGAAGGGCAAUAACUCCUUAGGGGGUCAAUUGACUAUUUUGGUCAUAGUGACUUAUUUUUAGUUCUUACUUUGCUGUACAUUAUUGCUGUUUACAGUUUAUCUCUAUCUAUAAUAAUA